AUUGUACGAGACAUUGCUCAAGCUUUAUCUUACUUGCAUCAUGAUUGUAAUCCAUCUAUUGUUCAUCGAGAUAUAACAAGCAACAAUAUUCUUUUGGAUAAAGAGUACAAGGCUUGUGUUGCGGACUUUGGUAUUUCUCGAUUGCUAAAAUCUAAUUCUUCACAUUGGAGUUUGCUUGCAGGCACAUAUGGGUACAUGGCACUAGCACUUGAAGUGAUACAUGGAACGCAUCAUGGGGAUCUCCUAACCAACUUAUCAUUGAGUAUGCUAGUGAAAGAUAUGCUAGAUUCACGUCUUCCCCUUCAUAAUACCGAUCAAGUGACCACAAACCAAGUGCUUUUGGUGAUUUUGAUAGCAAUGCAGUGCUUCGAUACCGUUCCACAAGCUCGCCCUACAAUGCUAGAAGUAUCUCAAAGGUUGUCUUCUCCAAAGUCUUUGCCAGCAUCUGACAACCAUUCUUAUCAGGCACUUACACUUAAUCACCUCAUAAACAUUGUGUAAGUGCAUAUUGAUGAUCAAGCGCAUGAAUAAUGGGAACUUAGGAAUUUAACCAAAGGUGCUAGUUUGUGAAUGGCCUUGAGUUGUGACAAGCUGUGAAUGGAG
Molecule: long non-coding RNA, 603 nt
Organism: Dioscorea cayenensis subsp. rotundata (Guinea yam)
Lineage: Eukaryota; Viridiplantae; Streptophyta; Magnoliopsida; Dioscoreales; Dioscoreaceae
Exons: 3
Source: RefSeq, a predicted model, not a curated record